CAGGCUUAACACAUGCAAGUCGAGGGGCAGCAUGGUCUUAGCUUGCUAAGGCCGAUGGCGACCGGCGCACGGGUGAGUAACACGUAUCCAACCUGCCGUCUACUCUUGGACAGCCUUCUGAAAGGAAGAUUAAUACAAGAUGGCAUCAUGAGUCCGCAUGUUCACAUGAUUAAAGGUAUUCCGGUAGACGAUGGGGAUGCGUUCCAUUAGAUAGUAGGCGGGGUAACGGCCCACCUAGUCUUCGAUGGAUAGGGGUUCUGAGAGGAAGGUCCCCCACAUUGGAACUGAGACACGGUCCAAACUCCUACGGGAGGCAGCAGUGAGGAAUAUUGGUCAAUGGGCGAGAGCCUGAACCAGCCAAGUAGCGUGAAGGAUGACUGCCCUAUGGGUUGUAAACUUCUUUUAUAAAGGAAUAAAGUCGGGUAUGCAUACCCGUUUGCAUGUACUUUAUGAAUAAGGAUCGGCUAACUCCGUGCCAGCAGCCGCGGUAAUACGGAGGAUCCGAGCGUUAUCCGGAUUUAUUGGGUUUAAAGGGAGCGUAGAUGGAUGUUUAAGUCAGUUGUGAAAGUUUGCGGCUCAACCGUAAAAUUGCAGUUGAUACUGGAUAUCUUGAGUGCAGUUGAGGCAGGCGGAAUUCGUGGUGUAGCGGUGAAAUGCUUAGAUAUCACGAAGAACUCCGAUUGCGAAGGCAGCCUGCUAAGCUGCAACUGACAUUGAGGCUCGAAAGUGUGGGUAUCAAACAGGAUUAGAUACCCUGGUAGUCCACACGGUAAACGAUGAAUACUCGCUGUUUGCGAUAUACAGCAAGCGGCCAAGCGAAAGCGUUAAGUAUUCCACCUGGGGAGUACGCCGGCAACGGUGAAACUCAAAGGAAUUGACGGGGGCCCGCACAAGCGGAGGAACAUGUGGUUUAAUUCGAUGAUACGCGAGGAACCUUACCCGGGCUUAAAUUGCAGAUGAAUUACGGUGAAAGCCGUAAGCCGUAAGGCAUCUGUGAAGGUGCUGCAUGGUUGUCGUCAGCUCGUGCCGUGAGGUGUCGGCUUAAGUGCCAUAACGAGCGCAACCCUUGUUGUCAGUUACUAACAGGUUCCGCUGAGGACUCUGACAAGACUGCCAUCGUAAGAUGUGAGGAAGGUGGGGAUGACGUCAAACCAGCACGGCCCUUACGUCCGGGGCUACACACGUGUUACAAUGGGGGGGUACAGAGGGCCGCUACCACGCGAGUGGAUGCCAAUCCCAAAAACCUCUCUCAGUUCGGACUGGAGUCUGCAACCCGACUCCACGAAGCUGGAUUCGCUAGUAAUCGCGCAUCAGCCACGGCGCGGUGAAUACGUUCCCGGGCCUUGUACACACCGCCCGUCAAGCCAUGGGAGCCGGGGGUACCUGAAGUGCGUAACCAAGAGGAGCGCCCUAGGGUAAAACUGGUGACUG
RNAcentral lists this ribosomal RNA (1431 nucleotides) under uncultured organism. RNAcentral's name for it is "16S ribosomal RNA". It matches the Rfam family "Bacterial small subunit ribosomal RNA". The record is from RNAcentral.